GAUGAACGCUGGCGGCGUGCCUAAUACAUGCAAGUCGAGCGAACAGACGAGGAGCUUGCUCCUCUGACGUUAGCGGCGGACGGGUGAGUGACACGUGGAUAACCUACCUAUAAGACUGGGAUAACUUCGGGAAACCGGAGCUAAUACCGGAUAAUAUAUUGAACCGCAUGGUUCAAUAGUGAAAGACGGUUUUGCUGUCACUUAUAGAUGGAUCCGCGCCGCAUUAGCUAGUUGGUAAGGUAACGGCUUACCAAGGCGACGAUGCGUAGCCGACCUGAGAGGGUGAUCGGCCACACUGGAACUGAGACACGGUCCAGACUCCUACGGGAGGCAGCAGUAGGGAAUCUUCCGCAAAGGGCGAAAGCCUGACGGAGCAACGCCGCGUGAGUGAUGAAGGUCUUCGGAUCGUAAAACUCUGUUAUUAGGGAAGAACAAAUGUGUAAGUAACUAUGCACGUCUUGACGGUACCUAAUCAGAAAGCCACGGCUAACUACGUG
RNAcentral lists this ribosomal RNA (497 nucleotides) under uncultured bacterium. Its description in RNAcentral is "partial 16S ribosomal RNA". It matches the Rfam family "Bacterial small subunit ribosomal RNA", at positions 28 to 507 of the family's 1533-position model. The record is from RNAcentral.